AACGUAGGCGCGGGUCAAAGUAAUGUAUCUGUUCUUAAGAGCUUAAUAUCUGAUACGGGUUGGAUUUGGACCAAAGACAUUAAACUUAGUUUUGGAAGUUGGCGGAGUGCUUGAAGCCUGCUUCACCUCCGCCGCGGGUAGGCCCGAUAUUGCACUAUCUUCGGGAGUUCUGGUCUACGGAC
Dermacentor silvarum is the source of this 182-nucleotide small nuclear RNA. RefSeq annotates it as U2 spliceosomal RNA. The record is from RefSeq and is a predicted model, not a curated record. Lineage: Eukaryota; Metazoa; Arthropoda; Arachnida; Ixodida; Ixodidae. The transcript has a single exon.